Molecule: ribosomal RNA, 243 nt
Filed under: uncultured bacterium
Lineage: Bacteria
Description: partial 16S ribosomal RNA
Rfam family: Bacterial small subunit ribosomal RNA
Source: RNAcentral
AGGUGGCAAGCGUUAUCCGGAAUUAUUGGGCGUAAAGAGGGAGCAGGCGGAAGCAAGGGUCUGUGGUGAAAGCCUGAAGCUUAACUUCAGUAAGCCAUAGAAACCAGGCAGCUAGAGUGCAGGAGAGGAUCGUGGAAUUCCAUGUGUAGCGGUGAAAUGCGUAGAUAUAUGGAGGAACACCAGUGGCGAAAGCGACGAUCUGGCCUGCAACUGACGCUCAGUCCCGAAAGCGUGGGGAGCAAA